RNAcentral lists this transfer RNA (73 nucleotides) under Odontella aurita. Its description in RNAcentral is "tRNA-Asn". It matches the Rfam family "tRNA". From Rfam's summary of the family: Transfer RNA (tRNA) molecules are approximately 80 nucleotides in length. Their secondary structure includes four short double-helical elements and three loops (D, anti-codon, and T loops). The record is from RNAcentral. Lineage: Eukaryota; Bacillariophyta; Thalassiosirophyceae; Eupodiscales; Odontellaceae.
UUCUCAGUAGCUCAGUUGGUAGAGCAAAUGGCUGUUAACCAUUGGGACAAAGGUUCAAAUCCUUUCUGAGAAG